UACGGAGGGGGCAAGCGUUAUUCGGAAUUAUUGGGCGUAAAGGGCGCGUAGGCGGCUAGAUGUGUCAAAGGUGAAAUCCCCGGGCUCAACCUGGGAACUGCAUUUGUGACUGCAAGGCUAGAGUACGGUAGAGGGGGAUGGAAUUCCGCGUGUAGCAGUGAAAUGCGUAGAUAUGCGGAGGAACACCGAUGGCGAAGGCAAUCCCCUGGACCUGUACUGACGCUCAUGCACGAAAGCGUGGGGAGCAAACAGG
RNAcentral lists this ribosomal RNA (253 nucleotides) under uncultured bacterium. RNAcentral's name for it is "partial 16S ribosomal RNA". It matches the Rfam family "Bacterial small subunit ribosomal RNA", at positions 524 to 776 of the family's 1533-position model. The record is from RNAcentral.